UGCCGGGAAGGAUGUGGAACAGCCAGCGACGAAGUAUGCUUUGGAAGACUACGACUUUUUCGGGGUAUCCAGUAUACCAGAUCACCUGUUCGAGAGGAGGAACGACACUGCAAAGUUUGUGGAACGGGGCAUCGACAACUGGUGCAAAAUAGAUGACUCGGACGAAAUGGCGAAUUUCAAGUGCACUGUGUGGCCUCACAUGAAGAAAUGUACAGUUUCCUGCGUAGAAGGAUUCACUACCAGCGACGGAGAAAACGUGCAGAAGAUAUCUUGCCGCGCCAAAGACGACGUAUGGGUACCGGAAUACAGAAAAUGCAACAAGAAAAGCGGCAGUUUGAAGACAGUGUUAUCUGAAAAUAGUGACUUAGGUCUGAACAGUGCUG
Molecule: long non-coding RNA, 383 nt
Organism: Uloborus diversus
Lineage: Eukaryota; Metazoa; Arthropoda; Arachnida; Araneae; Uloboridae
Exons: 3
Source: RefSeq, a predicted model, not a curated record